Molecule: ribosomal RNA, 253 nt
Filed under: uncultured bacterium
Lineage: Bacteria
Description: partial 16S ribosomal RNA
Rfam family: Bacterial small subunit ribosomal RNA
Source: RNAcentral
UACGUAGGGUGCAAGCGUUGUCCGGAAUUAUUGGGCGUAAAGAGCUCGUAGGCGGUUUGUCGCGUCGGCUGUGAAAACUCGGGGCUCAACCCCGAGCCUGCAGUCGAUACGGGCAGACUAGAGUGCGGUAGGGGAGACUGGAAUUCCUGGUGUAGCGGUGAAAUGCGCAGAUAUCAGGAAGAACACCAAUGGCGAAGGCAGCUCUCUGGGACGGUACUGACGCUGAGACGCGAAAGCGUGGGGAGCGAACAGG